AGAAAAUUACAGGAUCACCUUUAGCUGGAUCAGCAAGUCAUUAUCUAAGUUUUUGUUCUAGUAAAGCAAGAAUUCGAAAGUUAACUUUCUUGACCAUAGAGAUGUCUUUAUGAAAACCUGACAGCCAUUUCUUUUGAGUAUGUUUUGGUUCCUAAGUGUCAUUGUUUGUAUUUGAUGAUGAGGUCAGUGACAGUUCAUAGUUUCAAAGGCGUUGCUGCUAAGAAGUAUAGAUUCCAGUCAAAAUUACGUGGGCAUAAGAGAAACACACUUUUGGUUUUGUUGUUUCUUUUUUCCCCCCAACUAAUAUCUUGGUGCUCUUUAGACAUAGUGUAGGGGCUGGAGAUAUGGCUCAUUGUUUAAGAACACUCGCAACUAUCGCUGAGGACAACAGACCUGAGUUCUGUUCCUGACACCUACAUGAAUCAGCUCACACACACCUGGAACUCCAGCUCCAGGGAAUCUGAUGCUUCUAUGUCUACUGCACUCAUACACAUAAUAAACCCACGCACAGAAACAGGCACAGAUAAAAAUCAAAACAGGACAAAAAAUCCAAAUCUAAAUAAAUUAAAAUAAAGGAAUCUUUUUUUUUUCACCACUGUAAAUUUGGGCAGAAUAGUUUGCUUUUGUUAGCUUCCAUGUUUGUGUUUUAUUUUGUUUGAGACAGAAUCUUUGUAGCUUAGGUACCAUCAGUUUUAACAUUCUCUCUUCCUUCUGUCUCACCAGUGCUGAGGUUACAGGGUUAAGUCAUCCAGGAUGGAAUUGCUUUUAAGUUAAUCAGUGUAAACAACAGCCAGGAGCAUGACACUGUGUCUUCCACAACCACGAAGCUGGAAUCAGGGGGCAACACAAAUCAUUUGGAAGGGGCGGGGCGGGGCUGCCUUCAAGAAGAGACAUCGUAAAACAAAACAAAGCCCAAACCCAAGUUAUAAGGUAAAAACAUGUUUUGUUUCUGGGUUUUUGUUUUUUGGGUUUUUUGUUUGUUUGUUUGUUUUUGAGACAGGGUUUCUCUGUGUACUCCUGACUGUCCUAGAACUCGUCCUGUAGACUAGGCUAGCCUCGAACUCACAGAGAGGCAUCUAUCUCUGCCUCUGUUGGGAUGCAAGCGUGCACCGCCACUGCCUGGCUGUGAAAAACCAUGUGUAUUUAGCCUGUAAUACAGUCUAGUAAUCCAAUGCUUAAAAAAAAUUUAUUAUUCCUGGCCGCUACUCAUACACCUUCAUCUGAUAAGAAGAAAAAGGAAAGAAAUCAAAAGUGAGAAGGAGAAAGGAGAAAACCAAGGGCGUGGGAGACCAGGAAAGUGAAAGCAGACAAAUGCCCUGACCUUGACCCUCACGUGUUACUUCCCUUGUGCCGUAGGGGCCACUCCGCCCUCCUUCCAUCCUUCCUCUAACACUAAGAGCAAGAGCGGCAGCUGGCCCAUUUGAGAAGCCGCUCACUGGCUAAGCAUUUAUUCCGAAUCUUACUCACGCUUGCUCGCACGCCUGGCUAGUCUCAAGUGUUCGUCACUUGCAAGACCACGCCUCCGUUUUCCGCAGUUACUUCUGGGACAAAGACAGCCAGAAUGGAUUAUCAGCAGAAAUCCCAAAUGCCCUGGAGCAAUGCCCUGGAGCUUACUCCUGUCCCUGUUACAAACUGAGGCAGAACGGAGAGCACACAGCUGUGGACCCUGCGGGAAAAGAAAAGCCACCAUUUCUGAAAAGUGCCAGGGUCGAAGAUCUGAAGCCUAAUUCCUACACUUUUCAGAUACAAGUAAAAAUAAAAUAUUUACGUUUUCUCUUCUACAUAUUCUAAGUAAAAGAAUAAUAAAAAAUGAUAACUAACCAGGCCGCGGUGGCACACACCUUUAAUCCCAGCACCGGGGAGCAGAGGCAGGCGGAUCUCUGUGAGUUCAAGGCCAGCCUGGUUUACAAGAGCAGUUCCAGGACAGGCUCCAAAGCUACAGAGAAAUGAUGUCUUGAAAAAAAAAACAAACAAACAGAAACAGCAAAAUGAUAAAUAAACCAAACAGCCAGACUUUCUUUUUCACUGUUUAUUUGCCGUAUUUUGUAUGAUCGCGAACAUUGCUGAGUGCUUAUGAGUCCUGUGACGUGUUUAUGUCCUCUUUAAAUUCCUUGAAUUCUCUGAUAAAAAUUGUGAUAACUUAAAAAAUCCCCGUAUCCUGUGUUCUUCUGGGCAGCUCUCAUCUGAGAACACUUCUAUGGAACUAUGGGUUAAGGGAAGACUUCCUGUCCUGGGCAUCUGUGUUGUUUUCGGUUUUAUGAUUUGGCUUGUGGAUUUUCUUCAGCUGUGUUUGAUAUGAUCCUGGCUUUCCUCUGCUCGGCCCACGCAGGAACUGCUGGGCGGCUGAAUGCAGGGCUGGAGAAAUGGCUCCAGGGUUAAGAAGACCGGCUACUCUUGAAGAGGAUCAGGGAGAGAUUCCCAGCACCCACAUGGCUUCUCACAACUGUCUGCAACUCCAGUUCCAGGACAUCUGAUUCUGUCUUCUAACGGCCAUAGGUUCA
Molecule: RNA transcript, 2501 nt
Organism: Alexandromys fortis (reed vole)
Lineage: Eukaryota; Metazoa; Chordata; Mammalia; Rodentia; Cricetidae
Gene: Arl14
Gene name: ADP ribosylation factor like GTPase 14
Exons: 3
Source: RefSeq, a predicted model, not a curated record